GGCACUGUAGCUUAGCUGGUUAAAGCAUCUGUCUCGUAAACAGAAGAUCUUGGGUUCAAAUCCCAGCAGUGCCU
This is a non-coding RNA of Characodon lateralis, 74 nucleotides long. NCBI's taxonomy places the organism in Eukaryota, Metazoa, Chordata, Actinopteri, Cyprinodontiformes, Goodeidae. The record is from the annotation of a GenBank genome assembly.